Molecule: ribosomal RNA, 468 nt
Filed under: uncultured bacterium
Lineage: Bacteria
Description: partial 16S ribosomal RNA
Rfam family: Bacterial small subunit ribosomal RNA
Source: RNAcentral
GACGAACGCUGGCGGCGUGCUUAACACAUGCAAGUCGAACGGAAAGGCCCUGCUUUUGUGGGGUGCUCGAGUGGCGAACGGGUGAGUAACACGUGAGUAACCUGCCCUUGACUUUGGGAUAACUUCAGGAAACUGGGGCUAAUACCGGAUAGGAGCUCCUGCUGCAUGGUGGGGGUUGGAAAGUUUCGGCGGUUGGGGAUGGACUCGCGGCUUAUCAGCUUGUUGGUGGGGUAGUGGCUUACCAAGGCUUUGACGGGUAGCCGGCCUGAGAGGGUGACCGGCCACAUUGGGACUAAGAUACGGACCAGACUGCUACGGGGGGCAGCAGGGGGGAAUAUUGCACAAUGGGCGGAAGCCUGAUGCAGCAACGCCGCGUGCGGGAUGACGGCCUUCGGGUUGUAAACCGCUUUCGCCUGUGACGAAGCGUGAGUGACGGUAAUGGGUAAAGAAGCACCGGCUAACUACGUG